AACUGGUGGAUACAAUCAUUGGUAAGACCAUUAUCAAGGAGAGCUUCCAAGAAAUCAUGUUGGCUAGAAGAACCACUCUCUUUAUUUUUCCUUCUUUCUUCAAGAAUCAGUUCCCAGUUAGAACGAAUCUCUGUCAUUACAUAUCUAGCUCUUUUUCGCAGACCUUGAAGAUCUAAUUUACCUAAUACUGGAUAAAAAUCAGAUACAUUUGGAGCUGAGAUUGCUUCCACUAAUCCCCUUAUUAGAUUUCUA
Molecule: unclassified non-coding RNA, 252 nt
Filed under: Hevea brasiliensis (rubber tree)
Lineage: Eukaryota; Viridiplantae; Streptophyta; Magnoliopsida; Malpighiales; Euphorbiaceae
Source: RNAcentral